Molecule: non-coding RNA, 23 nt
Filed under: Cricetulus griseus (Chinese hamster)
Lineage: Eukaryota; Metazoa; Chordata; Mammalia; Rodentia; Cricetidae
Source: RNAcentral
GCAGAUGACUCGAGGGAACCAGA